Molecule: ribosomal RNA, 254 nt
Filed under: uncultured bacterium
Lineage: Bacteria
Description: partial 16S ribosomal RNA
Rfam family: Bacterial small subunit ribosomal RNA
Source: RNAcentral
UACGUAGGGUGCGAGCGUUGUCCGGAAUUAUUGGGCGUAAAGAGCUCGUAGGCGGUCUGUCGCGUCGAUCGUGAAAACUUGGGGCUUAACCCUGAGCUUGCGGUCGAUACGGGCAUGACUGGAGUUCGGCAGGGGAGACUGGAAUUCCUGGUGUAGCGGUGAAAUGCGCAGAUAUCAGGAGGAACACCGGUGGCGAAGGCGGGUCUCUGGGCAAUAACUGACGCUGAGGAGCGAAAGCGUGGGGAGCGAACAGG